GGGUGCCCCUUAUACAUGCAAGUCGAACGAACUCUGGUAUUGAUUGGUGCUUGCAUCAUGAUUUACAUUUGAGUGAGUGGCGAACUGGUGAGUAACACGUGGGAAACCUGCCCAGAAGCGGGGGAUAACACCUGGAAACAGAUGCUAAUACCGCAUAACAACUUGGACCGCAUGGUCCGAGUUUGAAAGAUGGCUUCGGCUAUCACUUUUGGAUGGUCCCGCGGCGUAUUAGCUAGAUGGUGGGGUAACGGCUCACCAUGGCAAUGAUACGUAGCCGACCUGAGAGGGUAAUCGGCCACAUUGGGACUGAGACACGGCCCAAACUCCUACGGGAGGCAGCAGUAGGGAAUCUUCCACAAUGGACGAAAGUCUGAUGGAGCAACGCCGCGUGAGUGAAGAAGGGUUUCGGCUCGUAAAACUCUGUUGUUAAAGAAGAACAUAUCUGAGAGUAACUGUUCAGGUAUUGACGGUAUUUAACCAGAAAGCCACGGCUAACUACGUGCCAGCAGCCGCGGUAAUACGUAGGUGGCAAGCGUUGUCCGGAUUUAUUGGGCGUAAAGCGAGCGCAGGCGGUUUUUUAAGUCUGAUGUGAAAGCCUUCGGCUCAACCGAAGAAGUGCAUCGGAAACUGGGAAACUUGAGUGCAGAAGAGGACAGUGGAACUCCAUGUGUAGCGGUGAAAUGCGUAGAUAUAUGGAAGAACACCAGUGGCGAAGGCGGCUGUCUGGUCUGUAACUGACGCUGAGGCUCGAAAGUAUGGGUAGCAAACAGGAUUAGAUACCCUGGUAGUCCAUACCGUAAACGAUGAAUGCUAAGUGUUGGAGGGUUUCCGCCCUUCAGUGCUGCAGCUAACGCAUUAAGCAUUCCGCCUGGGGAGUACGGCCGCAAGGCUGAAACUCAAAGGAAUUGACGGGGGCCCGCACAAGCGGUGGAGCAUGUGGUUUAAUUCGAAGCUACGCGAAGAACCUUACCAGGUCUUGACAUACUAUGCAAAUCUAAGAGAUUAGACGUUCCCUUCGGGGACAUGGAUACAGGUGGUGCAUGGUUGUCGUCAGCUCGUGUCGUGAGAUGUUGGGUUAAGUCCCGCAACGAGCGCAACCCUUAUUAUCAGUUGCCAGCAUUAAGUUGGGCACUCUGGUGAGACUGCCGGUGACAAACCGGAGGAAGGUGGGGAUGACGUCAAAUCAUCAUGCCCCUUAUGACCUGGGCUACACACGUGCUACAAUGGAUGGUACAACGAGUUGCGAACUCGCGAGAGUAAGCUAAUCUCUUAAAGCCAUUCUCAGUUCGGAUUGUAGGCUGCAACUCGCCUACAUGAAGUCGGAAUCGCUAGUAAUCGCGGAUCAGCAUGCCGCGGUGAAUACGUUCCCGGGCCUUGUACACACCGCCCGUCACACCAUGAGAGUUUGUAACACCCAAAGUCGGUGGGGUAACCUUUUAGGAACCAGCCGCCUAAGGUG
RNAcentral lists this ribosomal RNA (1459 nucleotides) under Lactiplantibacillus plantarum. RNAcentral's name for it is "bacterial SSU rRNA". It matches the Rfam family "Bacterial small subunit ribosomal RNA". Lineage: Bacteria; Bacillati; Bacillota; Bacilli; Lactobacillales; Lactobacillaceae. The record is from RNAcentral.